RNAcentral lists this ribosomal RNA (2661 nucleotides) under Triticum aestivum (bread wheat). RNAcentral's name for it is "partial small subunit ribosomal RNA". Lineage: Eukaryota; Viridiplantae; Streptophyta; Magnoliopsida; Poales; Poaceae. The record is from RNAcentral.
AUGUAUCUAUCGCUUUUGACCUGGACAUCGGCGCUCGACCGCUCGAGAGCCUCGACGUACCCCACUGGCCCACUCAGACCCACCAACGCGCGCGGCACCCACCCAGACCCAAACGCGACAGUGCGACACCCACCCAAACCUAGCGCGGCGGCGGCGGCUGGCCAGGUCGCGAGGACCAGGCGGACGCGACGACGGCAGUCGACGGCGGCAACGGGCUGGGGGCUUGGAGGGCUGUUGCACAGCGGCACCUUCAGCGGCGGCUCCAGGCCUCCCGCGGCGCAGCAAGCGGCGGCUCCAGGCCUCCAGCGGCGCAUCAAGCGGCGGCUCCGGCGGCGGCCGCAGCUGCGGCUCCGUCGACGACUUCACCAGCGGCUCCAGCGGGCGACGGCGAGAGCCGAAGUCGGGGAUUUUUCUGAGUGCCAGAAGAUGGAAGGAAGGGGGAAGGGACUAGCAAAUUCAAAGAAAAGGGGAAGAGAUUUGAAAAGGUAUUUUAAAGUGAUUGGUAGUGACAGCAGCUCAAAAACGAAUCCAAGCACCCGCGAAAGUGUCAAUAUUUCAGCAAAUGUCAAUCAUCAAGAUCAAGUGACUUCCAUGGAAGUAGAUCAUGAAAAUUUGAUGCCAACCGAACAAGUGGAAGAACAAACUACAGAUUCCGUCGAAGCUAUAGUGGAAGAGAAUGUUGAAGUUCACGGGAUUGAAGGUAUAACUAUUUUUAGUGAAGAUUACAUAAAGGGUGAUCCAGGACUUCGCAUUCCACUCGAUAGUUUUGCCCCCAACAUUAGAGAUGAUGUUAGAUUUGCUUAUAUACGAAUGGGUGCAACUCAACCAACUAGUUGCACUUUCCCCCCAAAUAGAGAUGGAAGAUGCUUCCGGCCACAAUGGUAUAAGGAUUUUGUUUGGUUGGAAUAUAGUGUAACAACACAUAAGGCUUAUUGCUUCUGUUGCUAUCUUUUUAAGCAUGACCGAAUAGAUGAUAAAUUUGGGCAUGAUGUCUUCUCCAAAUUGGAUUUUGACUGUUGGAAAAAUGCGGUUGCGGCAUUUCGUAAACAUGUUGGUGGGCCAUGUAGCAUCCACAAUAUAUCAAAAACAGCAUGCGAUGAUUUUAAAAAUCAAGGGGCAAGUGUGAAAAGUAAAGUUACAACUUACAGCCAAGGUUCACUUGUCAAGUAUGAAACUCGUGUGGAUACAUCUUUGGGCAUUGUAAGUUACCUAGCAUUGCAAGGUGAACCAUUUCGUGGACAUGAUGAAUCCAGUUCUUCUUUGAACAAGGGGAAUUUUUUAGAGUUGCUUGAUUGGGUCAAAGAAAGAAUUCCGGAAGUGAAGGUUGCAUUUGAUGAGCUAUGUCCUCAAAAUGCCAAAAUGACUUCCGGGACAAUUCAAAAAGAACUUGUCAAACAUUGUGCAACUGCAGUCACCACAGUAAUCAAAGAAGAGAUGGGUGAUUGUCUUUUCACUGUUCUUAUUGAUGAGUGUCGUGAUAUAUCGGUGAAAGAACAAAUGGCCGUGGUUGUCAGGUAUGUCAGUACUUCAUCUUGCAAGAGGAAGGAUAAAUUGCUUGACAAGCAAAAGGAAGAUCUUUUGGAUAAGAUUGAGAGAGGUGAGAUGCCCACAGGAAGAGGGAAAAAUCAAGAAACAUCGUUGGUCAGACCUGGAGACACAAGAUGGGGAUCUCAUUACACAACCUUAUCUCGCAUUGAAUCAAUGUGGGAUGCAGUCAUAGAAGUUUUGGGCAUUGUUGAGGAUGAUGUGCGUGUUCCAUGUAGGGCAGGAGGUUUGGUUCAUCAAAUGGAGACCUUUAGCUUUGUGUUCAUCCUGAAGAUGAUGCUAAAAAUCCUUCGUAUCACAAAUGAUUUAUCUCUUCUAUUGCAAAAGAAGGAUCAAAAUGUUGUUCAGGCAAUGUCAUUGGUUACAGAUGUGAGAACACGUUUGGUCAACUGGAGAAAUGAUGGUUGGGAGCCACUCUUGGAAGAUGUCAAAGUGUUUUGCACCAAAAACGACAUUCCAAUACCAAGUAUGGAUGACAUCUUUACAAAGUGGGGUAAAUCAAGAAAAGGUGGACGAAACAAUGUGACGGCUGAUCAUUUUUUUCGUGUGGACACCUUCUAUGCUGCUAUAGACUCCAUCACCACGGAGUUUGAUCAUCGUUUUAAUGAGGUAUCUUCAGAGCUGCUCCAGAACUUCUCUUGUCUUGACCCAAGAAACUCGUUUUCUAGGUUCAACUUGAAUAAGCUUGCUAGGCUCACAGAGAUUUAUCAUGAUGAUUUCUCUGACUAUGAACGUGAACAUAUAGAAGAUAACCUUGAUCUAUUCAUUAUCCAUAUGAGAAGAAUUGAAGACUUUAGAGCUUGUCAUGAUAUUGCAAGCCUAGCUAAAAUGAUGGUUGAACUUGAAAGGCAUGUCAUGUUUCCUACUGUUUAUCGCCUCAUUGAAUUGGCAUUGCUACUACCGGUAGCGACGGCAACUGUUGAAAGGGCCUUCUCAUCAAUGAAAAUUAUCAAGACUGAGUUGCGCAGCAAGAUGACCGAUGGUUGGCUUAAUGACUUGAUGGUUUGUUACAUUGAGCGAGAGAUCUUCAAAAGUAUAGAUCUUGGUAAAAUUAAGCAAGAUUUUCAGAAUGAAGGUAGGGCAUUGCCAUUGCCUGGGUCUUCUAGACGCCAUUGA